UAAAUGCGAUACGCAAUGUGAGUUGCAGAAUUCUGCGAGUCAUCAGAUCUUUGAAACGCAACCGGCGCUGGAGGGUUAUCCUUCCAGCAUGCUUGUUUCAGUGUCUAGAAACAUCAUAUAUCUUAAUGCGAUUGAUAGUAAAAUAUCUCUCAUGAAAUAUGUAAAUGUGGAUCUUUUGAUCCAACGAAGUAAUCGCAUUCUAAUAUGUGAUCUCGUUGGUAUAUUGAAAUUAUCCGUAAACAUUUAGUUUUAACGAAAAUAACUCUUCAAUAUGCAUCUGAAAUCAAGGUUACCCGCUGAACUUAA
Molecule: unclassified non-coding RNA, 306 nt
Filed under: uncultured fungus
Lineage: Eukaryota; Fungi
Description: sequence contains ITS1
Rfam family: 5.8S ribosomal RNA (bases 1-106)
Source: RNAcentral